GACGAACGCUGGCGGCGUGCUUAACACAUGCAAGUCGAACGGAAACGCCCUGCUUUUGUGGGGUGCUCGAGUGGCGAACGGGUGAGUAACACGUGUGUAACCUGCCCUUGACUUUGGGAUAACUUCAGGAAACUGGGGCUAAUACCGGAUAGGAGCUCCUGGUGCAUGGUGGGGGUUGGAAAGUUUCGGCGGUUGGGGAUGGACUCGCGGCGUAUCAGCUUGUUGGUGGGGUAGUGGCUUACCAAGGCUUUGACGGGUAGCCGGCCUGAGAGGGUGACCGGCCACAUUGGGACUGAGAUACGGCCCAGACUCCUACGGGAGGCAGCAGUGGGGAAUAGUGCACAAGGGGCGGAAGCCUGAUGCAGCAACGCCGCGUGCGGGAUGACGGCCUUCGGGUUGUAAACCGCUUUCGCCUGUGACGAAGCGUGAGUGACGGUAAUGGGUAAAGAAGCACCGGCUAACUACGUG
RNAcentral lists this ribosomal RNA (468 nucleotides) under uncultured bacterium. RNAcentral describes it as "partial 16S ribosomal RNA". It matches the Rfam family "Bacterial small subunit ribosomal RNA", at positions 28 to 507 of the family's 1533-position model. The record is from RNAcentral.